UGGGGAAUAUUGCACAAUGGGCGCAAGCCUGAUGCAGCCAUGCCGCGUGUAUGAAGAAGGCCUUCGGGUUGUAAAGUACUUUCAGCGGGGAGGAAGGGAGUAAAGUUAAUACCUUUACUCAUUGACGUUACCCGCAGAAGAAGCACCGGCUAACUCCGUGCCAGCAGCCGCGGUAAUACGGAGGGUGCAAGCAUUAAUCGGAAUUACUGGGCGUAAAGCGCACGCAGGCGGUUUGUUAAGUCAGAUGUGAAAUCCCCGGGCUCAACCUGGGAACUGCAUCUGAGACUGGCAAGCUUGAGUCUCGUAGAGGGGGGUAGAAUUCCAGGUGUAGCGGUGAAAUGCGUAGAGAUCUGGAGGAAUACCGGUGGCGAAGGCGGCCCCCUGGACGAAGACUGACGCUCAGGUGCGAAAGCGUGGGGAGCAAACAGG
Molecule: ribosomal RNA, 429 nt
Filed under: Chloroflexota bacterium
Lineage: Bacteria; Bacillati; Chloroflexota
Description: Chloroflexi bacterium partial 16S ribosomal RNA
Rfam family: Bacterial small subunit ribosomal RNA
Source: RNAcentral